AAAAAGAGGAGUGGCGAACGGGUGAGUAACACGUGGGUAACCUGCCCAUCAGAAGGGGAUAACACUUGGAAACAGGUGCUAAUACCGUAUAACAAUCAAAACCGCAUGGUUUUGAUUUGAAAGGCGCUUUCGGGUGUCGCUGAUGGAUGGACCCGCGGUGCAUUAGCUAGUUGGUGAGGUAACGGCUCACCAAGGCCACGAUGCAUAGCCGACCUGAGAGGGUGAUCGGCCACAUUGGGACUGAGACACGGCCCAAACUCCUACGGGAGGCAGCAGUAGGGAAUCUUCGGCAAUGGACGAAAGUCUGACCGAGCAACGCCGCGUGAGUGAAGAAGGUUUUCGGAUCGUAAAACUCUGUUGUUAGAGAAGAACAAGGAUGAGAGUAACUGUUCAUCCCUUGACGGUAUCUAACCAGAAAGCCACGGCUAACUACGUGCCAGCAGCCGCGGUAAUACGUAGGUGGCAAGCGUUGUCCGGAUUUAUUGGGCGUAAAGCGAGCGCAGGCGGUUUCUUAAGUCUGAUGUGAAAGCCCCCGGCUCAACCGGGGAGGGUCAUUGGAAACUGGGAGACUUGAGUGCAGAAGAGGAGAGUGGAAUUCCAUGUGUAGCGG
RNAcentral lists this ribosomal RNA (610 nucleotides) under uncultured Bacilli bacterium. RNAcentral describes it as "bacterial SSU rRNA". It matches the Rfam family "Bacterial small subunit ribosomal RNA", at positions 85 to 681 of the family's 1533-position model. The record is from RNAcentral. Lineage: Bacteria; Bacillati; Bacillota; Bacilli.